GCCGGAGUGGCGAAAUGGCAGACGCGGGCGACUUAAAAUCGCCUGGGCAACCCCCGUGCGGGUUCGAGUCCCGCCUCCGGCACCA
Molecule: transfer RNA, 85 nt
Filed under: Firmicutes bacterium ZCTH02-B6
Lineage: Bacteria; Bacillati; Bacillota
Also listed under: 2 other names
Description: tRNA-Leu
Rfam family: tRNA
About the family: Transfer RNA (tRNA) molecules are approximately 80 nucleotides in length. Their secondary structure includes four short double-helical elements and three loops (D, anti-codon, and T loops). Further hydrogen bonds mediate the characteristic L-shaped molecular structure. tRNAs have two regions of fundamental functional importance: the anti-codon, which is responsible for specific mRNA codon recognition, and the 3' end, to which the tRNAs corresponding amino acid is attached (by aminoacyl-tRNA synthetases). tRNAs cope with the degeneracy of the genetic code in two manners: having more than one tRNA (with a specific anti-codon) for a particular amino acid; and 'wobble' base-pairing, i.e. permitting non-standard base-pairing at the 3rd anti-codon position.
Source: RNAcentral